CAGUAGCCACGGGAAUACGAAGGGGGCUAGCGUUGUUCGGAUUUACUGGGCGUAAAGGGUGCGUAGGCGGACUGAUAAGUCAGGGGUGAAAUCCCAAGGCUCAACCUUGGAACUGCCUUUGAUACUGUUAGUCUUGAGUUCGAGAGAGGUGAGUGGAAUUGCGAGUGUAGAGGUGAAAUUCGUAGAUAUUCGCAGGAACACCAGUGGCGAAGGCGGCUCACUGGCUCGAUACUGACGCUGAGGUGCGAAAGCGUGGGGAGCAAACAGGAUUAGAUACCCCUGUAGUCCCUGUCUCUUAUAC
RNAcentral lists this ribosomal RNA (301 nucleotides) under uncultured bacterium. RNAcentral's name for it is "partial 16S ribosomal RNA". It matches the Rfam family "Bacterial small subunit ribosomal RNA", at positions 509 to 807 of the family's 1533-position model. The record is from RNAcentral.